This 466-nucleotide ribosomal RNA is filed under the name uncultured bacterium. RNAcentral's name for it is "partial 16S ribosomal RNA". It matches the Rfam family "Bacterial small subunit ribosomal RNA", at positions 28 to 507 of the family's 1533-position model. The record is from RNAcentral.
GACGAACGCUGGCGGCGUGCUUAACACAUGCAAGUCGAACGGUAAGGCUCCAGCUUGCUGGGGUACACGAGUGGCGAACGGGUGAGUAACACGUGGGUGACCUGCCCUGCACUUCGGGAUAAGCCUGGGAAACUGGGUCUAAUACCGGAUAGGACCAUGGUGUGGAUACUGUGGUGGACAGUUUUUUCGGUGUGGGAUGGGCCCGCGGCCUAUCAGCUUGUUGGGGGGGUAAUGGCCUACCAAGGCGGCGACGGGUAGCCGGCCUGAGAGGGUGGACGGCCACAUUGGGACUGAGACACGGCCCAGACUCCUACGGGAGGCAGCAGUGGGGAAUAUUGCACAAUGGGCGGAAGCCUGAUGCAGCGACGCCGCGUGGGGGAUGACGGCCUGCGGGUUGUAAACUCCUUUCACCAUCGACGAAGGGUUUCUGACGGUAGAUGGAGAAGAAGCACCGGCUAACUACGUG